UACGUAGGGGGCUAGCGUUGUCCGGAAUCAUUGGGCGUAAAGAGCGUGUAGGCGGCCCGGUAAGUCCGCUGUGAAAGUCGGGGGCUCAACCCUCGAAUGCCGGUGGAUACUGUCGGGCUAGAGUGUGGAAGAGGCGAGUGGAAUUCCUGGUGUAGCGGUGAAAUGCGCAGAUAUCAGGAGGAACACCAAUUGCGAAGGCAGCUCGCUGGGACGUAACUGACGCUGAGACGCGAAAGCGUGGGGAGCAAACAGG
RNAcentral lists this ribosomal RNA (253 nucleotides) under uncultured bacterium. Its description in RNAcentral is "partial 16S ribosomal RNA". It matches the Rfam family "Bacterial small subunit ribosomal RNA", at positions 524 to 776 of the family's 1533-position model. The record is from RNAcentral.